This 1242-nucleotide long non-coding RNA is filed under the name Homo sapiens (human). RNAcentral describes it as "HSALNT0244210". The record is from RNAcentral. Lineage: Eukaryota; Metazoa; Chordata; Mammalia; Primates; Hominidae.
CCGAAUGAAGGAACAAAGACCAAGUGAGAAGGCUUUUGCCCUUGACCUUUGGCCUUUUCUUUUCUUCUUGUUUGGGUUACAGAUGUGAUCCCUGGAGGUGAGUGGCUAUCUUGUGAAGCAUUGCAGAUGAUGGGGCAGGAAGACGGAACUAUCCUGGGGUGCCUCUUUCCAUGGUCAUUGUCACAUGAGUAAGUUGUCUAGAAGAGGUCACGUUGGCUUGGAUUAAGGUGGUGACGAGGGCUGUAUUAGUCCAUUUUCAUGCUGCUAGUAAAGACAUACCCAAGACUGGGUAAUUUAUGAAGAAAAAGAGGUUUAAUGGGCUCACAGUUCCACGUAGCUGGGGAGGCCUCACAAUCAUCAGGGCGAAGGAAGAACCAAGGUGCGUCUUACAUGGCACCAGACGAAGACAGUGAAAGGGGUUUCCACUUAUAAAACCAUGAGAUCUCAUGAGACUUUUUCACUACCACGAGAACAGUAUGGGGGAAACCGCCCCCAUGAUUCAACUAUCUCCCAUUGGGUCCCUCCCAUAACACGUGAAAAUUAUAGGAGCUACAAUUCAAGAUGAGAUUUGGGUGGAGACACAGCCAAACCAUAUCAAGGGGGAUGGAUGGAGAAGAGCAGAUGGAUUGGAGGUUGUGGAGGACAGCCGCCUGGCCUUGCUGGUGAUGAGGACAACAGGACCAAAGGAACGUUUGAGCCAUUUAUUCAAAUCAUGCUGCUAGCUAAUGGCAAAGGGAACAGAAAACACAAAGAAAAUCACCCAUAAGGCCGGGCACAGUGGCUCACACCUGUAAUCCUAGCACUUUGGGAGGCCGAGGUGGGCAGAUCACGAAGUCAGAAGUUCGAGACCAGCCUGGCCAACAUAGUGAACCCUCAUCUCUACUAAAAAUACAAAAAAUUAGCCGGGCAUGGUGGUGGCGCCUGUAAUCCCAGCUACUCGGGAGGCUGAGGCAGGAGAAUGGCUUGAACCCAGGAGGCGGAGGUUGCAGUGAGCCAAGAUCACGCCAUUGCACUCCAGCCUGGGCGACAGAGUGAGACUCCGUCUCAAAAAAAAAAAAAAAAGAAGAAGAAGAAAAUCACCCAUAAUGCUACCUAUCAAAAUAAUCAGGAUGUAAAGUAUUUUUCCAUGUAUAAAUAGUAUCAUUAGUAAAUAGUAUCAGAAUCCAUAAACUGUUUUAAAGCCUGUUUAUUUCCAUUAAAUAUAUGAUGUAUAUUUUCCCAUGCUAAUAAAUAACCUUACAA